Molecule: ribosomal RNA, 871 nt
Filed under: Laccaria bicolor
Lineage: Eukaryota; Fungi; Basidiomycota; Agaricomycetes; Agaricales; Hydnangiaceae
Description: eukaryotic LSU rRNA
Rfam family: Eukaryotic large subunit ribosomal RNA
Source: RNAcentral
UUCCCCUAGUAACUGCGAGUGAAGCGGGAAAAGCUCAAAUUUAAAAUCUGGCAGUCUUUGGCUGUCCGAGUUGUAAUCUAGAGAAGUAUUAUCCGCGCUGGACCGUGUACAAGUCUCCUGGAAUGGAGCGUCAUAGAGGGUGAGAAUCCCGUCUUUGACACGGACUGCCAGGGCUUUGUGAUAUGCUCUCAAAGAGUCGAGUUGUUUGGGAAUGCAGCUCAAAAUGGGUGGUAAAUUCCAUCUAAAGCUAAAUAUUGGCGAGAGACCGAUAGCGAACAAGUACCGUGAGGGAAAGAUGAAAAGAACUUUGGAAAGAGAGUUAAACAGUACGUGAAAUUGCUGAAAGGGAAACGCUUGAAGUCAGUCGCGUUGGCCAGGGAUCAACCUUGCUUUUGCUUGGCUUACUUUCUGGUCGAUGGGUCAGCAUCAAUUUUGACUGGUGGAAAAAGUUCAAGGGAAUGUGGCAUCUUCGGAUGUGUUAUAGCCUUUGUUCACAUACAUUGGUUGGGAUUGAGGAACUCAGCACGCCGCAAGSCCGGGUUUUUAACCACGUACGUGCUUAGGAUGCUGGCAUAAUGGCUUUAAUCGACCCGUCUUGAAACACGGACCAAGGAGUCUAACAUGCCUGCGAGUAUUUGGGUGAAAAACCCGAGUGCGUAAUGAAAGUGAAAGUUGAGAUCCCUGUCGUGGGGAGCAUUGACGCCCGGAUCUGACCUUUUGUGACGAUUCUGCGGUAGAGCAUGUAUGUUGGGACCCGAAAGAUGGUGAACUAUGCCUGAAUAGGGUGAAGCCAGAGGAAACUCUGGUGGAGGCUCGUAGCGAUUCUGACGUGCAAAUCGAUCGUCAAAUUUGGGUAUAGGGGCGAAAGACU